Long non-coding RNA from Prunus persica (peach), 3376 nucleotides. RefSeq lists it as uncharacterized. Lineage: Eukaryota; Viridiplantae; Streptophyta; Magnoliopsida; Rosales; Rosaceae. The record is from RefSeq and is a predicted model, not a curated record. The transcript has 5 exons.
AAAAAUUAAUGAGAAAAAAAAUUUAGGGAUUAAUCAUUCUUAAACAAUUUAAUAAAGUUGCGGAUUCAAAUUAUAAGUUUGCAAGAUUUGAGGAAAAAAAACAUUUGAGUCUUGAAAUACAUGAAUAAUUGUAUUUUAGAGUAUGAAAAUUUGAGUUUAGCUCCAAUAUGAUUGGAAAUGGCCUCAAAGGAAGAGAAAUUAGUCUACCAAAAUUUUGAUAUGAUUAACGAAAAAGCUCUCUACCAAUCGAAGUUUCAUGUAUCUAUAAUCUACGUCCAAAAAAAAAAAAAAAAAAAAAAACUGAAUAUACAAUAGGCGGCCAAUGCGGCAGUAGCUGCACUACAAUCGAAUAUGGACUCGAAAACCGAUGUGUCCUUGUUCCUGCACCCGUACACUAACUUGUACCCGUUUGGGGCCCAAGCGUCAUGGACCCACCGUCUUACAUUACGCAUCCCCAAUCCAAUCAGCAGUUUCCAUACGUAUACUGACGCGUAACCUGCAAUGACGAAAAUACCACCUUCGUCUCCCAACCCAGCCAAUUAACCCCCGGGUACAACAGCAACCCUAUGAAUCCGGCUGCCCACAAUUAAUCCACCUCCUCACGACCCCACAGCUCCUGAGAUAUUUUCUUCUCUCUCCACGACACGAACCAAAAAAAUCAUUAUUUUUAUGUAUAAAAAUUUGCAACGCUUGGUUUCGUUCCUUCUGGUUUCUUCCGGAUUCGAGUUCUUCCUGAUAAACCAGAUCGUCGUCUUCUCCUUAACUUGAAUUGAGGUUUUUGAUCAUUCACUCUUCGUUCUCGCUACUGCGAUGUCUCAGAGAGCAGCAAAUGAAAUUUCCAUGGCUUCGUUUCCACGCUCACAGUAGAGUUUCUGGCUGGGAUGAGUAUUUGGCGUUAAUGGUUUUUGUUUGAUCAGUGAGGUUGAUGGGCUGCAUUGGAUUAUAAUUAGUAUGACAGAUUCUAAAGUUUGUUUCAUUGAACAUUUCAUACCAAAGCUGCUGGUACCUCUGCUGGAUGCAUUUACUAUAUGUAGACAUGUGAUGCCUUCUCAAGUUCAAGGUCCGGCUAUUAUAGAGAGUUAGACGCUCACUAUAUUACGCACUGUAUGGUGGUUUGGAUAUCUAACAGCAGAUCAUGGAUUAUUGAAUUAAACAAAAGAGCUGCUGGUCAUUGGUCACUGUUUAAUUGAUUUAAUGGAAAGUGGAAGUUGAGGAGAACAAGUAUAUGUGGACCGUAGAGAACCUGCAGAAUGGCAUCAAGAAUAACCUUGUAAUUGACCAUGGUUACUGGUUGAGGGAACAUUUGGUUUAUGCCUACAAUGUUACAUUACUUUAGUUUAGAUUCGGUUAUUUAGAAUAGUUUUGCAGGGAAACCUAGGAGGCUAAGCUUUUUUAGAUGCAUGUUAAUGUAAGUGCAUGAGCCUACAGUUAAACAUAAAUUGUGUGAAGGAAGCUUAAAACUAGGCAAGUAGCUUGUAAGACAUUGCAUUUAGUUGUUCGGCAGCUCACUUGAACAACAAUUAACAGAAUAGCACUUGAAUGUAAGCAGAAAGUAGGAAGAGUGGUGUCUCUUUUAGCUUAAUGAUGGCGGAAAACAGAUAAAGCAUUUGGGGUUCAUCCCUUCACAUAUAGAAAGGAUUGCAAUUGAUUUCUAAUGAGCCAUUUGGAUAAGCUUCAUGACUAGUUGAGGAAUUGUAUCUCGUCAGUUUUCUCAUAAAUUAUAGGAGGCUUCAGGCAUAGGUUUUGUUGAGUUAUUUGGUUGGGUGAGUGCACACUUGCAGGAUUCAAAUUUUUGUAAAGAUUAUGAUGUCAUUGAUAUGCUCUGCCUAACUAGUGACAAAGUGAUAGUUAUUAGGGAUAUCUUGUUUUUGUUUGGCUAUGGAGAAUUAUGUCAUCUACGUCCAUGUGAAUUCUCAUUGAACAGCUCUGUAAUCUGGUCAUAGAUGUUUCUUAUCAGUUCCUAGAGGAAGAACCAAGUAUAAAAUAAGGAUCUUAUUGACCUUUGUUAAUGUACUCUAACUGGUGGCCUAACAUUGCAUCAGAAAAUGUUCUGUCCCAUUGAGUAAGUUGUACUUAUUCUGACUUCUCUUUUUUCUUGUGAUACUUGGAUUUGAUGGGCAUCUCAUUCAUCCUACUUGUAUCAUUUCUAAUAUAGAUUUGUUGCGUAUAUUUGAAAAUAAAAAAAGUAAGCAAGAGCAAGUGCAAAGAAGACUUGUAGGGCAUCAAUUAUAGAUCAUAUGCUUAGAGAUAAAAAAAAAUUCAUUUCUUUUACCCACUCAUUAUAAAAUUUGAUCUUCCUUAUGUUACAUACACAUGUGCAUGAUCGCAUGCCUGCAAACACACACACAAAUGUGCACAUGCAAAGAUUGGAGUAAUUCUCAAAAUUCUCUAGCUUAUGGCCAUGACUUGAAAUUAAAUUUACAUGCAUCUGUGCACAAUAUGAAUUGUUUUGGACGCCAUUCAGGUGCAUCUCAUAUUUCUAGCUAUGGCCUCUUAUAUUUAACACUUGAAUGUUUUUAAUUUCUUGUUUGAUCUCACAUGUGCAUCUUCUGCGGGCCCUAAUGGUCAGCUGUUUGCUUAUUUAAGCUUACACUAAAUGCGGUGACUACUGUUUGGUUAGAGUUGUUAAGAGCAGGUGACUGUAUCAUUCUACUGAUGGAACAGCAAGAACGCUAACCAAUGGCUCACGCUUAGCUGAAAUUCAAGGAUGUUACCUGCCGCGCAUAGAGCAAUUGAUAACAACAUUUCACUGUUUGAAUAUUCAUGCAUACGGAAAUCGCUUGCCAACUUCAUGUCUGUCGCCAUUUGGUUCCAGCAUAAAAAGAUUUUUCAUUCUUCACUUGUUUCUUCAAUUUGGUUGCACAUCACUAAAGAAAUUCUCUUGGGAUGUGUUGCUUUACAUUUCCAGAAUCCAUAUGUUGGCACAACUGGAAAUUGAAUUAUGCCUUCCACCGUACUGCUGACCUAGUCUAAAGUUUGCCGUUGGAUCAAUACAUGAACUUCUUUCUUCUUGUUUCAGAAUUCUGACUCCCGGAAACCUUUGGUUAAUUAAAUUUCAGGCUGGUAGUACUGCACUAUCUAUCAUCUUAGGAAUAAAAGGCCCUCCAAUUGGAAUUAAGUUGGAAUAGUCUGGAAUUGCUUGUUAUUCCAGACAAACGAACUAUUAUUCAAUGGAAUUAUGCUGAAGCUUGUGCUUGGAAUUCAUGGUGCCAUCAAAGCUUCAGCACCAACAUACUUUCUCUUAAACUUUUGUUCUUUUCUUCUGCAAAUGCAAACAAAUGGGCAUUAGCUCAAGGUGUUGCUUUAUUGCAAAUGGAAUAUUGUACAGAAGAUCAGUUUACGCACCUCUUGGCAUAGCAUCUACAUUUUCCCUUUA